GAUGAACGCUGGCGGCGUGCCUAAUACAUGCAAGUCGAGCGAACGGACGAGAAGCUUGCUUCUCUGAUGUUAGCGGCGGACGGGUGAGUAACACGUGGAUAACAUACCUAUAAGACUGGGAUAACUUCGGGAAACCGUAGCUAAUACCGGAUAAUAUUUUGAACCGCAUGGUUCAAAAGUGAAAGACGGUCUUGCUGUCACUUAUAGAUGGAUCCGCGCUGCAUUAGCUAGUUGGUAAGGUAACGGCUUACCAAGGCAACGAUGCAUAGCCGACCUGAGAGGGUGAUCGGCCACACUGGAACUGAGACACGGUCCAGACUCCUACGGGAGGCAGCAGUAGGGAAUCUUCCGCAAUGGGCGAAAGCCUGACGGAGCAACGCCGCGUGAGUGAUGAAGGUCUUCGGAUCGUAAAACUCUGUUAGUAGGGAAGAACAUAUGUGUAAGUAACUGUGCACAUCUUGACGGUACCUAAUCAGAAAGCCACGGCUAACUCCGUG
This 497-nucleotide ribosomal RNA is filed under the name uncultured bacterium. Its description in RNAcentral is "partial 16S ribosomal RNA". It matches the Rfam family "Bacterial small subunit ribosomal RNA", at positions 28 to 507 of the family's 1533-position model. The record is from RNAcentral.